GUGAACGCUGGCGGUCGGCCUCACACAUGCCAGUCGAACGGCAGCACAGUGAGAGCUUGCUCUUACGGGUGGCGAGUGGCGGACGGGUGAGGAAUACAUCGGAAUCUACUUUUUCGUGGGGGAUAACGUAGGGAAACUUACGCUAAUACCGCAUACGACCUACGGGUGAAAGCAGGGGAUCUUCGGACCUUGCGCGAUUGAAUGAGCCGAUGUCGGAUUAGCUAGUUGGCGGGGUAAAGGCCCACCAAGGCGACGAUCCGUAGCUGGUCUGAGAGGAUGAUCAGCCACACUGGAACUGAGACACGGUCCAGACUCCUACGGGAGGCAGCAGUGGGGAAUAUUGGACAAUGGGCGCAAGCCUGAUCCAGCCAUACCGCGUGGGUGAAGAAGGCCUUCGGGUUGUAAAGCCCUUUUGUUGGGAAAGAAAAGCAGCAGGUUAAUACCCCGCUGUUCUGACGGUACCCAAAGAAUAAGCACCGGCUAACUUCGUG
This 491-nucleotide ribosomal RNA is filed under the name uncultured bacterium. RNAcentral describes it as "partial 16S ribosomal RNA". It matches the Rfam family "Bacterial small subunit ribosomal RNA", at positions 29 to 507 of the family's 1533-position model. The record is from RNAcentral.